UAAGCGGAGGAAAAGAAACUAACAAGGAUUCCCCUAGUAACGGCGAGUGAAGCGGGAAGAGCUCAAAUUUGAAAUCUGGUAGCCUUCGGUUGCCCGAGUUGUAAUAUAGAGAAGUGUUUUCCGUGCCGGCCCAUGUACAAGUCCCCUUGGAACAGGGCGUCAUAGAGGGUGAGAAUCCCGUCCUUGACAUGGACCCCCGGUGCUUUGUGAUACACUUUNAACGAGUCGAGUUGUUUGGGAAUGCAGCUCAAAAUGGGUGGUGAAUUCCAUCUAAAGCUAAAUAUUGGCGAGAGACCGAUAGCGAACAAGUACCGUGAGGGAAAGAUGAAAAGCACUUUGGAAAGAGAGUUAAACAGUACGUGAAAUUGUUGAAAGGGAAACGAUUGAAGUCAGUCAUGCUCUUGGGACUUACCUCCCUUGAGUGGGGUCAACAUCAGUUUUGAUCGAUGGAUAAAGGCACGGGGAAGGUAGCACUCUCGGGUGAACUUAUAGCCUCGCGUCAUAUACAUUGAUUGGGACUGAGGAACGCAGCAUGCCUUAUGGCCGGGAUUCGUCCACGUACAUGCUUAGGAUGUUGACAUAAUG
Molecule: ribosomal RNA, 585 nt
Filed under: Naganishia albida
Lineage: Eukaryota; Fungi; Basidiomycota; Tremellomycetes; Filobasidiales; Filobasidiaceae
Description: eukaryotic LSU rRNA
Rfam family: Eukaryotic large subunit ribosomal RNA
Source: RNAcentral